GAUGAACGCUGGCGGCAGGCCUAACACAUGCAAGUCGAGCGGAUGAGUGGAGCUUGCUCCAUGAUUCAGCGGCGGACGGGUGAGUAAUGCCUAGGAAUCUGCCUGGUAGUGGGGGACAACGUUUCGAAAGGAACGCUAAUACCGCAUACGUCCUACGGGAGAAAGCAGGGGACCUUCGGGCCUUGCGCUACCAGAUGAGCCUAGGUCGGAUUAGCUAGUUGGUGAGGUAAAGGCUCACCAAGGCGACGAUCCGUAACUGGUCUGAGAGGAUGAUCAGUCACACUGGAACUGAGACACGGUCCAGACUCCUACGGGAGGCAGCAGUGGGGAAUAUUGGACAAUGGGCGAAAGCCUGAUCCAGCCAUGCCGCGUGUGUGAAGAAGGUCUUCGGAUUGUAAAGCACUUUAAGUUGGGAGGAAGGGCAGUAAGUUAAUACCUUGCUGUUUUGACGUUACCGACAGAAUAAGCACCGGCUAACUUCGUGCCAGCAGCCGCCGUAA
This 500-nucleotide ribosomal RNA is filed under the name uncultured bacterium. RNAcentral describes it as "partial 16S ribosomal RNA". It matches the Rfam family "Bacterial small subunit ribosomal RNA", at positions 28 to 523 of the family's 1533-position model. The record is from RNAcentral.